UUGUGCUGUGUGGGACGCCACCUCAGCAUGGCCUGAUGAACAGUGCCAUGUCCGCGCCCAGGAUCCGAACCCGAAAAACCCCGGGCCGUCCAAGCGGAGCGCACAAACUUAACCACUGGGCCACGGGCAGACCCUCAAUGAUAGUUUUUCGUAUGUAAAUCUGUUCUCCCCAGCAACAGGAAUGUCAAAAUACUCUAAAGAAGGGAAGAAAGUGUGCAAACAGAGGAAGAGAUCCCAGGAGUGCAGGCACACAGAGAAAAAGGCCUUGUGAAGACACAGGGAGAAGGCGGCCAUCAGCAAGUCAAGAAGAAAAGUCUCACCAGAAACCAACCCUGCUGGCACCUUGAUCUGGGACUUUCAGCCUUGAGAAU
Equus quagga is the source of this 371-nucleotide long non-coding RNA. RefSeq lists it as uncharacterized. The transcript has 3 exons. Lineage: Eukaryota; Metazoa; Chordata; Mammalia; Perissodactyla; Equidae. The record is from RefSeq and is a predicted model, not a curated record.